RNAcentral lists this transfer RNA (73 nucleotides) under Stegodyphus mimosarum. It matches the Rfam family "tRNA". Rfam says of the family: Transfer RNA (tRNA) molecules are approximately 80 nucleotides in length. Their secondary structure includes four short double-helical elements and three loops (D, anti-codon, and T loops). Lineage: Eukaryota; Metazoa; Arthropoda; Arachnida; Araneae; Eresidae. The record is from Rfam by way of RNAcentral.
GCCUUCGUGGUGUAAUGGUCAGCACACUCGGCGCGUAUUCGAGAGGUCCGAGGUUCGAGUCCCAGCGAAGGCA